Molecule: non-coding RNA, 72 nt
Organism: Dipodomys ordii (Ord's kangaroo rat)
Lineage: Eukaryota; Metazoa; Chordata; Mammalia; Rodentia; Heteromyidae
Source: Rfam
GGGAUGGUGGCUCAGUGGUAGAGCGCUUGCCUUGCGUGCCUGAGGCCCUGGGUUCAAUUCCUCAGCACCCCA